CCUCUCAGUCCCGGUAAUGUAUGGAGGUUGAGGGAAAGGGCUCCGGCCUUCCCGGUGUCACAUCUUCGGCACGGAAGGCUUCCAGUCCGUGGGUUCUAACCUCAAGUGCCCGGACACUG
Molecule: small nucleolar RNA, 119 nt
Organism: Balaenoptera musculus (blue whale)
Lineage: Eukaryota; Metazoa; Chordata; Mammalia; Artiodactyla; Balaenopteridae
Source: Ensembl